UGGGUAUUGCGCUCUGGAUGGGCUCAUGUCCUAUCAGCUUGUUGGUGAGGUAACGGCUCACCAAGGCUUCGACGGGUAGCUGGUCUGAGAGGACGAUCAGCCACACUGGCACUGCGACACGGGCCAGACUCCUACGGGAGGCAGCAGUAAGGAAUAUUGCGCAAUGGACGAAAGUCUGACGCAGCGACGCCGCGUGGGGGAUGAAGGUCUUCGGAUUGUAAACCCCUUUCGGGAGGGAAGAUGGAGUGGGUAACCACUUGGACGGUACCUCCAGAAGCAGCCACGGCUAACUUCGUG
Molecule: ribosomal RNA, 297 nt
Filed under: uncultured bacterium
Lineage: Bacteria
Description: partial 16S ribosomal RNA
Rfam family: Bacterial small subunit ribosomal RNA
Source: RNAcentral